UAGAGGUCCGCCUGCCUGUGACUAUAAGUUUAACGGCCGCGGUAUUUUGACCGUGCGAAGGUAGCGCAAUCACUUGUCUUUUAAUUGGAGACCUGUAUGAAUGGCAUAACGAGGGCCUAACUGUCUCCUUUUUCAAGUCAAUGAAAUUGAUCUUNCCGUGCNGAAGCGGGAAUAAACACAUAAGACGAGAAGNCCCUAUGGAGCUUUAGACAAAAGCAGGCCAUGUUAAGCACCCUCAAACAAGAGGCCAAACCCGAUGUCUUACUGCCUAGCGUCUUUGGUUGGGGUGACCGCGGCGAAACAAAAAACCCCCGUGUAGAAAGAGGGCUCUCCCCUUCAAAUCAAGAGCUACCGCUCGAACGAUCAGGAUACCUGACUAAAAAAGAUCCGGCAAUGCCGAUCAACGGACCGAGUUACCCUAGGGAUAACAGCGCAAUCCCCUUCUAGAGCCCAUAUCGACAAGGGGGUUUACGACCUCGAUGUUGGAUCAGGACAUCCUAAUGGUGCAGCCGCUAUUAAGGGUUCGUUUGUUCAACGAUUAAAGUCCUACGUGAUCUG
Molecule: ribosomal RNA, 558 nt
Filed under: Chaetodon citrinellus (speckled butterflyfish)
Lineage: Eukaryota; Metazoa; Chordata; Actinopteri; Chaetodontiformes; Chaetodontidae
Description: partial 16S ribosomal RNA
Rfam family: Bacterial large subunit ribosomal RNA
Source: RNAcentral